GAUAUCAAUUAGUUAGUUAAUACUAGUUCACGAAGGGCAAUGAGCUAAUUAAAUCAAAAUAGUAGAUUUUAAUUUAUAUGUGGCAUCAUAUAAGGAUUAGGUUUAGUUAGGGGUGAUAGGCUUAUCAACUUGUUAGAUAUCUUGAUCCACAGGAAAAAUAUUAAGUAUUAGAUCAAUAAAGAAAUGGUUAGGUUUCUUUAGAACAUAAAUUAAAUUUACUUGCGCGUGGUAUACUUAAUCGUUACUGCUCAUAGUUAAUUAUAAUAUUAUAUUAAAAGAUUAUGAAAUUUUACUGUAGAAAUUUGCUGGUUAGUUAGUUAAUUAUUUAAUGAUAACAUUAGUAUUAUAAGAUGUUUUAUAAAGGAACUCGGCAAAAAUUUGCUCAACUGUUUAACAAAAACAUAGCUAAAUGUUAUUAUAUUUAGUUUUUUCUGCUCAAUGAUUUAUCUAAAUAGCCGCAGUA
This 463-nucleotide ribosomal RNA is filed under the name Actinella lentiginosa lentiginosa. Its description in RNAcentral is "partial large subunit ribosomal RNA". Lineage: Eukaryota; Metazoa; Mollusca; Gastropoda; Stylommatophora; Geomitridae. The record is from RNAcentral.